Molecule: ribosomal RNA, 378 nt
Filed under: Bifidobacterium pseudocatenulatum
Lineage: Bacteria; Bacillati; Actinomycetota; Actinomycetes; Bifidobacteriales; Bifidobacteriaceae
Description: bacterial SSU rRNA
Rfam family: Bacterial small subunit ribosomal RNA
Source: RNAcentral
CCUUACCUGGGCUUGACAUGUUCCCGACAGCCGUAGAGAUAUGGCCUCCUUCGGGGCGGGUUCACAGGUGGUGCAUGGUCGUCGUCAGCUCGUGUCGUGAGAUGUUGGGUUAAGUCCCGCAACGAGCGCAACCCUCGCCCUGUGUUGCCAGCACGUCAUGGUGGGAACUCACGGGGGACCGCCGGGGUCAACUCGGAGGAAGGUGGGGAUGACGUCAGAUCAUCAUGCCCCUUACGUCCAGGGCUUCACGCAUGCUACAAUGGCCGGUACAACGGGAUGCGACACGGCGACGUGGAGCGGAUCCCUGAAAACCGGUCUCAGUUCGGAUUGGAGUCUGCAACCCGACUCCAUGAAGGCGGAGUCGCUAGUAAUCGCGGA